Thalassophryne amazonica is the source of this 98-nucleotide long non-coding RNA. RefSeq lists it as uncharacterized. NCBI's taxonomy places the organism in Eukaryota, Metazoa, Chordata, Actinopteri, Batrachoidiformes, Batrachoididae. The transcript has 3 exons. The record is from RefSeq and is a predicted model, not a curated record.
GCUGACUUCUUGAUGAUGAUUUACCAGAAAAAAAACCUUGAUAGUUGUCAUGUUUCUGAUGGCAGUGAAGACAAACAAGGAGCUCGGACAGCUUCUAC